Molecule: long non-coding RNA, 1445 nt
Filed under: Capra hircus (goat)
Lineage: Eukaryota; Metazoa; Chordata; Mammalia; Artiodactyla; Bovidae
Description: lncRNA (ENSCHIG00010026198.1)
Source: RNAcentral
UAUACUUUCAAAUUACAAACUUUAUUCAUGAAAAGAGAAUCCAAGAAACAUUAAAAAUGAGAAUAGUGACUAUAAUGCAAUAAAAUGUAGUCUUCAUGUAUCUGAACACAGAGCAAGGUCAUCUAGUUAAGCUUGCCAUAAAUAUAAAUCUCUUAGGUCUCAGUCCUUUGGAGGUUCCAGUGAGUUUGCAUGGGACUUGGAAUCUGUGAUUGAACAAGUGUCUUCGGUGGCCAGUCUGUAGAUCAGUGUUGAAAAGGCUAAGUCCAGCUGUGUAAUUCCAAACUCUUAUUCUGUUUUAGAGAUAAUUCACAGUAAUUUUUUAAAAAUCCAUAUUUCUGUGCCCAAGCAAAAUGAUUCAAUUCUGUAAAGCUGGAAUGGUAUAUAGGAACAUACAUUUUAACAAAUGCACCAGGAAAUUCCAGUAUUGGGAAUACAUAGACAUACUCUGGAAACCUGGUUUAUUCAUCAGGACACACUUGGACAGACUUUACUCAAAUAACCUUAAACAGAGUAAAAUUAAGGGCUUCCCAGGUGGCAUUAGUGGUAAAGAACCAAUCUGCCAAUGCAGUAGACAUAAAAGACUAGGGUUUGAUCCCUGAUCAGAAGAUCCCACCGAGAAGGAAAUGGCAACCCACUUCAGUAUUCCUGCCUGAAGAAUCCCAUGGACAGAGAAACCUGGCAGGCUACAGUCCAUGGGGUCAGAGUCAGACAUGACUGAAGUGACUUAGUACACAGGCACAUCAGUGCUAAGAGAAAGAAGGAUAGAGAGAUAUUCCUUUUCCCUAAACUAUGUGUAUUUUCAUAAUUUCUGUAACCAUCAGGUCUUCAUAAUGCUUUGCAUAGGGGCCAAGCUUCCCAUUCAGACUUUACUCAAAUAACCUCAAACAGAGUAAAAUUAAAAGCCUCUCUAAGAAGAAGCAUCUGUNNNNNNNNNNNNNNNNNNNNNNNNNNNNNNNNNNNNNNNNNNNNNNNNNNNNNNNNNNNNNNNNNNCAUAGAACAUUUAAGGAGAGUUACUCUUUCUUAGUGUUCUGUCUGUCCUUUCAAAUUUUCUCUAGUUUCUGAAGAGCUCUCUUUCACAUUUCCCUUUUAUAUUAUAAUUCCUUUAACUCAGGAUCAAAUAAAUACGGGAAGCCUCAAAGUUAAUUCCACCCAUAGACAUAAUUUUGGAAAUUUAAAAAUUUUAUUUUCAAACUGUCUGUCAUUUCAGUGUUUGUGUUUAAAUUGAACCAACCAUUAAAACCUGUGCAUAUACACAAGAAUUCUAGUUUGAUUUUCCUUGUUAAAAAUUAAUUUGAGAUAAUUUGAUAAUGUUGAGCCUGAGGGUUAUAUAUGGUAAUAAUUUGCGAGUAGAACUCACCAGCUUUUAAAACAGUGUGAUAUAUCUAGUUUACCGUUAUCUCUAUCACUCCUGGUAAUUUUUCUCAUGAUUCACAUAUGUUAGCCU